GGGUUGUGAGGUUAAGCGACUAAGCGUACACGGUGGAUGCCCUGGCAGUCAGAGGCGAUGAAGGACGUGCUAAUCUGCGAUAAGCGUCGGUGAGGUGAUAUGAACCGUUAUAACCGGCGAUUUCCGAAUGGGGAAACCCAGUGUGUUUCGACACACUAUCAUUAACUGAAUCCAUAGGUUAAUGAGGCGAACCGGGGGAACUGAAACAUCUAAGUACCCCGAGGAAAAGAAAUCAACCGAGAUUCCCCCAGUAGCGGCGAGCGAACGGGGAGGAGCCCAGAGCCUGAAUCAGUGUGUGUGUUAGUGGAAGCGUCUGGAAAGGCGCGCGAUACAGGGUGACAGCCCCGUACACAAAAAUGCACACAUUGUGAGCUCGAUGAGUAGGGCGGGACACGUGGUAUCCUGUCUGAAUAUGGGGGGACCAUCCUCCAAGGCUAAAUACUCCUGACUGACCGAUAGUGAACCAGUACCGUGAGGGAAAGGCGAAAAGAACCCCGGCGAGGGGAGUGAAAAAGAACCUGAAACCGUGUACGUACAAGCAGUGGGAGCCUCUUAAUGGGGUGACUGCGUACCUUUUGUAUAAUGGGUCAGCGACUUAUAUUCUGUAGCAAGGUUAACCGAAUAGGGGAGCCGAAGGGAAACCGAGUCUUAACUGGGCGUUAAGUUGCAGGGUAUAGACCCGAAACCCGGUGAUCUAGCCAUGGGCAGGUUGAAGGUUGGGUAACACUAACUGGAGGACCGAACCGACUAAUGUUGAAAAAUUAGCGGAUGACUUGUGGCUGGGGGUGAAAGGCCAAUCAAACCGGGAGAUAGCUGGUUCUCCCCGAAAGCUAUUUAGGUAGCGCCUCGUGAAUUCAUCUCCGGGGGUAGAGCACUGUUUCGGCAAGGGGGUCAUCCCGACUUACCAACCCGAUGCAAACUGCGAAUACCGGAGAAUGUUAUCACGGGAGACACACGGCGGGUGCUAACGUCCGUCGUGAAGAGGGAAACAACCCAGACCGCCAGCUAAGGUCCCAAAGUCAUGGUUAAGUGGGAAACGAUGUGGGAAGGCCCAGACAGCCAGGAUGUUGGCUUAGAAGCAGCCAUCAUUUAAAGAAAGCGUAAUAGCUCACUGGUCGAGUCGGCCUGCGCGGAAGAUGUAACGGGGCUAAACCAUGCACCGAAGCUGCGGCAGCGACACUAUGUGUUGUUGGGUAGGGGAGCGUUCUGUAAGCCUGUGAAGGUGGCCUGUGAGGGUUGCUGGAGGUAUCAGAAGUGCGAAUGCUGACAUAAGUAACGAUAAAGCGGGUGAAAAGCCCGCUCGCCGGAAGACCAAGGGUUCCUGUCCAACGUUAAUCGGGGCAGGGUGAGUCGACCCCUAAGGCGAGGCCGAAAGGCGUAGUCGAUGGGAAACAGGUUAAUAUUCCUGUACUUGGUGUUACUGCGAAGGGGGGACGGAGAAGGCUAUGUUGGCCGGGCGACGGUUGUCCCGGUUUAAGCGUGUAGGCUGGUUUUCCAGGCAAAUCCGGAAAACCAAGGCUGAGGCGUGAUGA
RNAcentral lists this ribosomal RNA (1532 nucleotides) under Escherichia coli. Its description in RNAcentral is "partial 23S ribosomal RNA". It matches the Rfam family "Bacterial large subunit ribosomal RNA", at positions 1 to 1569 of the family's 2925-position model. The record is from RNAcentral. Lineage: Bacteria; Pseudomonadati; Pseudomonadota; Gammaproteobacteria; Enterobacterales; Enterobacteriaceae.